CGCUGGCGGCGUGCCUAACACAUGCAAGUCGAGCGAGGAGAUCCUCGGGAUGAUCCUAGCGGCGGACGGGUGAGUAACACGUGGGCAACCUGCCUCAUAGAGAGGAAUAGCCUUCCGAAAGGGAGAUUAAUACCUCAUAACAUUGCAGUUUCGCAUGGAACAGCAAUUAAAGGAGCAAUCCGCUAUCGAGAUGGGCCCGCGGCGACAUUUAGCUAGGUUGGUGAGGUAACGGCUCACCAAGGCGACGAUGCGUAGCCGACCUGAGAGGGUGAUCGGCCACAUUGGGACUGAGACACGGCCCAGACUCCUACGGGAGGCAGCAGUAGGGAAUCUUCCGCAAUGGACGAAAGUCUGACGGAGCAACGCCGCGUGAGUGAAGAAAAGGUUUUCGGAUCGUAAAACUCUGUUGUCAGAGAAGAACAAGUUGGAGAGUAACUGCUCCAGCCUUGACGGUAUCUGACCAGAAAGCCACGGCUAACUACGUGCCAGCCGCAGC
This 496-nucleotide ribosomal RNA is filed under the name uncultured bacterium. RNAcentral describes it as "bacterial SSU rRNA". It matches the Rfam family "Bacterial small subunit ribosomal RNA", at positions 34 to 518 of the family's 1533-position model. The record is from RNAcentral.